RNAcentral lists this ribosomal RNA (474 nucleotides) under uncultured Glomus. Its description in RNAcentral is "SSU rRNA". It matches the Rfam family "Eukaryotic small subunit ribosomal RNA", at positions 569 to 1048 of the family's 1831-position model. The record is from RNAcentral. Lineage: Eukaryota; Fungi; Glomeromycota; Glomeromycetes; Glomerales; Glomeraceae.
AGCAGCCGCGGUAAUUCCAGCUCCAAUAGCGUAUAUUAAAGUUGUUGCAGUUAAAAAGCUCGUAGUUGAAUUUCGAGACCGGUUUACUGGUCGUGCUUUUGUACGUACUGGUGUUAUUGGUUUCUCCUUUCUGACGAACUAUAAUGCCAUUAAUUUGGUGUUUUAGGGAAUCAGGACUGUUACUUUGAAAAAAUUAGAGUGUUUAAAGCAGGCUCACGCUUGAAUACAUUAGCAUGGAAUAACGGAAUAGGACGUUUGAUUCUAUUUUGUUGGUUUCUAGGAUCGACGUAAUGAUUAAUAGGGAUAGUUGGGGGCAUUAGUAUUCAAUUGUCAGAGGUGAAAUUCUUGGAUUUAUUGAAGACUAACUACUGCGAAAGCAUUUGCCAAGGAUGUUUUCAUUAAUCAAGAACGAAAGUUAGGGGAUCGAAGACGAUCAGAUACCGCCGUAGUCUUAACCAUAAACUAUGCCGACUA